Molecule: ribosomal RNA, 392 nt
Filed under: uncultured bacterium
Lineage: Bacteria
Description: partial 16S ribosomal RNA
Rfam family: Bacterial small subunit ribosomal RNA
Source: RNAcentral
AUACGGAGGAUCCGAGCGUUAUCCGGAUUUAUUGGGUUUAAAGGGUGCGCAGGCGGCCAUUUAAGUCAGCGGUUAAAUCGUGGGGCUCAACCCCAUUCUGCCGUUGAUACUGGGUGGCUUGAUUGCGGUCGAGGUUGGCGGAAUUCGUUGUGUAGCGGUGAAAUGCAUAGAUAUGACGAAGAACACCGAUUGCGUAGGCAGCUGACCAGACCGCAAAUGACGCUCGUGCACGAAAGUGCGGGGAUCGAACAGGAUUAGAUACCCUGGUAGUCCGCACAGUAAACGAUGAAUACUUGUUUUCGGCGAUAUAAUGUCGGAGGCGAAGCGAAAGCGAUAAGUAUUCCACCUGGGGAGUACGCCGGCAACGGUGAAACUCAAAGGAAUUGACGGGG